This 131-nucleotide transfer RNA is filed under the name Aureobasidium pullulans. RNAcentral describes it as "tRNA-His". It matches the Rfam family "tRNA". From Rfam's summary of the family: Transfer RNA (tRNA) molecules are approximately 80 nucleotides in length. Their secondary structure includes four short double-helical elements and three loops (D, anti-codon, and T loops). Further hydrogen bonds mediate the characteristic L-shaped molecular structure. tRNAs have two regions of fundamental functional importance: the anti-codon, which is responsible for specific mRNA codon recognition, and the 3' end, to which the tRNAs corresponding amino acid is attached (by aminoacyl-tRNA synthetases). tRNAs cope with the degeneracy of the genetic code in two manners: having more than one tRNA (with a specific anti-codon) for a particular amino acid; and 'wobble' base-pairing, i.e. permitting non-standard base-pairing at the 3rd anti-codon position. Lineage: Eukaryota; Fungi; Ascomycota; Dothideomycetes; Dothideales; Saccotheciaceae. The record is from RNAcentral. RNAcentral also lists the same sequence under 1 other name.
GUAGCUUUGGUCUAGUGGUUACGACGCUAUAGUAUGAUACCCCUGUUGUCUCACGGCUCCAGGGACUUUGGUCUCACGGCCUCAGUCGCCUCAGAAAUAUAGAAACGUGGGUUCGAUUCUCACAGGCUGCG